This 65-nucleotide transfer RNA is filed under the name Drosophila borealis. RNAcentral's name for it is "tRNA-Ile". The record is from RNAcentral. Lineage: Eukaryota; Metazoa; Arthropoda; Insecta; Diptera; Drosophilidae.
AAUGAAUUGCCUGAUGAAAAGGAUUACCUUGAUAGGGUAAAUUAUGUAAAAUUUUACAUUCAUUG